Psammomys obesus (fat sand rat) is the source of this 320-nucleotide non-coding RNA. The record is from the annotation of a RefSeq genome assembly. Lineage: Eukaryota; Metazoa; Chordata; Mammalia; Rodentia; Muridae.
UUGGACUCGGGCAGCCGGAACAAACUGAAAUGUCAGUCACUGGACUGACAGGUGAGAGUGUCCAAAUACCCUGUAAAGUUUCUCUCCCAGAUUUUGACAAAAUAGAUAUACACUGGUACCGUCACAAAACAAAGCAACAGUUUGAGUAUCUAAUAUAUGUCAGAAUGGAGUACAAUCAACGCCCCUUGGAAGGGAAGAAAAAGAAAAUUGAAGGCACUAAAGACUUUGUAACUUCUACUUCAACCUUGAAAGUAAAUUUCUUGAAGAAGGAGGAUGAAGCCACCUACUACUGUGCAGCCUGGAUAUUAGCACAGCAUUAG